AUGAUGCACACAAGCUACGAGCUAGGCCAUGGACCCCUGUCGGCUGACGACGUGACAGACCCGUCGGUCGACAUCCCGUGCGACGUCGAGUCCAAGCCGGAACCCCGACACCCGCCGCCUGACGUCAUCGAGGAGCCCAAGCCACCGCCUGUCAUACACCCACCAGCCGGAGAGCCACUGGUCAAGGAGCCACCACCUGUCGAGGAGCCUCCGGCACCGGUCAACCUGCUUGUGGAACCACCACAUGUGGACGAGCCACCCGCCGAAGAGCCAUUGAUGGACCCACCACCCACCCAGGAGCCUCUGGCGCCGGUCGAACCACUCGUGGAACCACCACCCAUCGAGGAGCCACCUGCCGAAGAGCCGCCGGUGGACCCACCACCCACCGUGGAGCCUCCGGCACCGGUCGACCCGUAUGUGGAACCGCCACCCAUGGACCCACCAUCGGCUGAGGAGCCAAGGCCUGCUGCAGAACCACCUGCCAAGGAUCCUCCGGCGCUGGUUGAGGAGCCACUUCACGUGGAACCGCCUCCAGUGCUGGAGCCACAUCCCGUGGACCGAACACCGGUCCAGGAGCCACCUAGUGCACCACCAGCAGAGGCGAAGCCAUCCGAGGGCAGCGACGAAUCGAGUAGUAGCGCUGGUGAGGACAACGGCGAGGAGGGCCGCCGCAAGGGCAAGCGACGUCGUGGCGGGAUAGGACAACGGAGGCGCACGCGGCGUGCGAGGUUCCCGUGGGGCAUGUUGGUUGCUCCUGCCGUGAUCCUGCUCACUGUCGCAGUGGCCGUGGCCAAGAGACGGCAGCAGCCGCAGCGCGGUGGUUGA
This 825-nucleotide ribosomal RNA is filed under the name Triticum aestivum (bread wheat). RNAcentral's name for it is "partial small subunit ribosomal RNA". Lineage: Eukaryota; Viridiplantae; Streptophyta; Magnoliopsida; Poales; Poaceae. The record is from RNAcentral.